AACCCUUGUGGAGGAGGACGCCGAAGGUGGGGCUAAUGACUGGGGUGAAGUCGUAACAAGGUAGCCGUACCGGAAGGUGCGGCUGGAUCACCUCCUAACAGGGAGACAACAAAAUGUUUAAUAUUAUUAUUUUGUCACCUUAGGUCGAUCGGUAUCUCACAUUCUUAAUUUAUUAAGGAUUUUAUUUCCUAAGUUUUUUCUAGGUCACACCCAUUACUUUUCCUGGGCCAUUAGCUCAGGUGGUUAGAGCGCACCCCUGAUAAGGGUGAGGUCCCUGGUUCAAGUCCAGGAUGGCCCAUAUCUCUAUGUUGGGGGUAUAGCUCAGUUGGUAGAGCGCCUGCUUUGCAAGCAGGAUGUCAGCGGUUCGAGUCCGCUUACCUCCACUGAUUACCACCUCUUCCAUAAUUUUUAUUAAGGAAAUGUUUUGAGUAGUGAUCAAAUUCUGAACGAAUCUAGCUUCCUAAUGAAUUCAUUAAGAUGCUGGACUCAUUGAAUUAUUUUCAUUGUUUUCAGAGAACCUUGACAACUGCAUAGAUUAUUUUUAAAGACAAUAAGCAUCUUUAUGAUGCAGAUUUAUUAUUUGUGCGAAUGCAUUAAUAACAAUUCUAUUAAGCUGAUGCUUCAAUUAUGAAGUUAUUGGUCAAGCUACAAAGGGCUCACGGAGGAUACCUAGGCACACAGAGGCGAUG
RNAcentral lists this unclassified non-coding RNA (689 nucleotides) under uncultured Prochlorococcus sp. Its description in RNAcentral is "partial may contain 16S ribosomal RNA, 16S-23S ribosomal RNA intergenic spacer, and 23S ribosomal RNA". The stretch from base 1 to 98 matches the Rfam family "Bacterial small subunit ribosomal RNA", at positions 1437 to 1533 of the family's 1533-position model. Lineage: Bacteria; Bacillati; Cyanobacteriota; Cyanophyceae; Synechococcales; Prochlorococcaceae. The record is from RNAcentral.